RNAcentral lists this unclassified non-coding RNA (344 nucleotides) under uncultured fungus. RNAcentral describes it as "partial contains small subunit ribosomal RNA, internal transcribed spacer 1, and 5.8S ribosomal RNA". The stretch from base 1 to 73 matches the Rfam family "Eukaryotic small subunit ribosomal RNA", at positions 1759 to 1831 of the family's 1831-position model. The record is from RNAcentral. Lineage: Eukaryota; Fungi.
ACAAACUUGGUCAUUUAGAGGAAGUAAAAGUCGUAACAAGGUUUCCGUAGGUGAACCUGCGGAAGGAUCAUUACCGAGUGUUGAUUGCUUAGCAAUCGCCUCCCACCCUUGAUUACUGUCUUGUUGCUUCGGCGAGACGCUUUCCUGUAAGGCCGUCGACUUGUUCAAAUUGACUACGUGGAAGUCACGUGUACAUCCACGUGACCUAGCUGGUCAAAAUGGAUUGUGGGCGUGAGCUCGCCGAAGGUUUUUCCACACUGAAUUUUUGACGUCUGAGGAACAGAAAAUUGUUUAAAACUUUCAACAACGGAUCUCUAGGUUUCGGCAUCGAUGAAGAACGCAGC